UACGUAGGGUGCAAGCGUUGUCCGGAAUUAUUGGGCGUAAAGAGCUCGUAGGUGGUUCGGUAAGUCGGAUGUGAAAUCUCCAGGCUCAACCUGGAGGGGUCAUUCGAUACUGCCGUGACUAGAGUUCGGUAGAGGAGUGUGGAAUUCCUGGUGAAGCGGUGAAAUGCGCAGAGAUCAGGAGGAACACCCGUAGCGAAGGCGGCCCUCUGGGCCGAUACUGACACUGAGGAGCGAAAGCGUGGGGAGCGAACAGG
Molecule: ribosomal RNA, 254 nt
Filed under: uncultured bacterium
Lineage: Bacteria
Description: partial 16S ribosomal RNA
Rfam family: Bacterial small subunit ribosomal RNA
Source: RNAcentral